GGCAGUGUAGCAUAGUAGUAAGGAGCAGGGCUUGUAACCCAAAGGUUGUUGGUUCGAUUCCACACGGGGACA
This 72-nucleotide transfer RNA is filed under the name Megalops atlanticus (tarpon). RNAcentral describes it as "tRNA-OTHER". Lineage: Eukaryota; Metazoa; Chordata; Actinopteri; Elopiformes; Megalopidae. The record is from RNAcentral.